RNAcentral lists this microRNA precursor (103 nucleotides) under Marmota monax (woodchuck). Lineage: Eukaryota; Metazoa; Chordata; Mammalia; Rodentia; Sciuridae. The record is from RNAcentral.
AGUGGUAUAGCUGGAUCAUGUGGUGGUUCCAUUCCUAGCCUUUUGAGGAAUCUCCACACUGCUUUCCAAAGUGAUUGUACUAAUUGGUAGUUCCACCAGCAAU